RNAcentral lists this long non-coding RNA (564 nucleotides) under Ananas comosus (pineapple). Its description in RNAcentral is "long non-coding RNA (ACOM_LNC044009)". The record is from RNAcentral. Lineage: Eukaryota; Viridiplantae; Streptophyta; Magnoliopsida; Poales; Bromeliaceae.
AUAAUUUCGACAAAUCUUUAUUAAGGUCCUAAAUUUUUUUCCUUUGUAGCCGUUGCAACAAAAUUAGAUUAUAGGGACACAUAUUUGGAACACUUUUGUGUAAGUGUCCAAUCCAACCAAAAAUAAAAGGUUACUCUACUCAACCCAUCCCACCUAGUCCAUUCGACCCGAUUAUAAACAGAAAAGAAAAAGAAAAGAAAAGUCGAUUAUCAUUUCUCCUUUUCCCCUCACUCAAUCGACUGAAAUCCCAGAUGAAGAUCCCUUCCUCUCGUCCUCCUCCGCUAUCAGAUAGAGUUUCAGUGGUUGCUAAAUGCUUAAAUAAGUGUUGGUAAAUUAGCAGCACUCUUUUUAGAUUAUAGCGAUAUUUUUUAACCGUCACUAUAUACCUAGCGACCCCACAUAUAGCCAUACUUUUUAAAAGUAUCGGUAAUUUAGCUAGCAACACUUUUUUUGACUUGUACCAAUAUUUAAAGGUGUCACUAUAGACCAUUUUUGCUGUAGUAAGGAUAUUUACUUGUUUUUUUUUUAAAAAAAAAUAAUAAGCUGGUACAAAGUAAAUAAGUG